AAACAUAUCAUUUGACAAACGACGACGUGGCAGAAGUUGUUAAAUCCGACGGUGACAGUUUUCAACCUAUCACACCUAAAAAGACCAUUGCAAGGCUUUGCAUUUCUAUAUUAUCCAAAACACUCUUCGAAAAGGUGAAAUGUCAUCAAUCUUUCAGAAGAUCUUGAUGGUUGUUUUCAUUGUUUCGAUGAUUACGUCUUCUAUAUCAGUAGUGCAAGGCGGUCUUCAUCCUGAAGGCGACAACCCGAAGUCCAGCAAAACUUUAGAAGAAAUUGCAGACAAUCUCAAUCCCGAAGAAAUGUUCAGCGUAUGAUACCAUUGUGUUAACCAUUCUAUAUCGCAAGACUUUUUAUUGCGACUUAUACACAAGAAUAUGAAUAAAUAAUGAACAUUGAAA
This is a non-coding RNA of Styela clava, 397 nucleotides long. Lineage: Eukaryota; Metazoa; Chordata; Ascidiacea; Stolidobranchia; Styelidae. The record is from RefSeq and is a predicted model, not a curated record.